Non-coding RNA from Morus notabilis, 80 nucleotides. NCBI's taxonomy places the organism in Eukaryota, Viridiplantae, Streptophyta, Magnoliopsida, Rosales, Moraceae. The record is from Rfam.
GUGUUUCUUAGAAAGGAGAGAUGGUUGACAACCCUGACAGGGAUGGGAUCAACCUUCGGGUUUCCCUGUUAAAGAAUUUU